AGGUCCCUCGGCUUAUAUUCGGGUCGGCUUAUACUCGAGUAUAUAUGGGCAGAACUGCUCAGCAACUACUGUGGCUCUGUCUUCACCCAAAACAAACGGAAUAUCCAACCUGGUAAAAACAGAAGUAAUGCUGUAGGAAGGUGGUGUGUGUGUGUGUGUGUCUAGACCAUGGAAGUAAAAAAGUGAAAUAAUUCCAUUCAUUAAUUAUUGCCCGCCAUGCAGGUUGAGCAUUAUAGGAAAUGAAGUUCAAAGAAAUGUAGCAUGCAUCACAUGUUUCAUCGCUUCAGUCAUUCAUACAGGGGAGUUAAAAUAAAGGACUCCUUGGAAGGACUCAAUCAACUCAGAAUGGCUGAGAUUCCUUCCCAUGCCUAUACACUUGACCUUUAGGUACAGGGAGAUUUGGCACUGAAUCUCAAAUUCAUUUGCCCCAUUGUUUAUCUUCUAAAUGUUAAUUCCUUAUGACUUAAUUAAUUUCACUCUUUACCUAAGGACUACAAUGUGCCAGUCCCUCAAGCUAGGCUUUGUCCCCUUUAUAAAGGAAGCAAGCAGGUCUUUGCUUCAAUAGAUAGUCUCCUGAAUAGAGUUUAGAGUUCUAGGAAGCUUCUGAAUCCCAGGACAAUGAAGAUCUGUUUCCUCUUUGUGUUUGCAGCUAUUGCCUGCAUCUUGGUGUCUGGAGAUGCAACAUCUUCAGAUGAAAUCUCUCAACCUGAUGCUUCUGCUGAAAGAAGCCUGGGCGAUGCUCAAGGCUAUGAAGAAAAGCUAUUAGGCGGUGGCUCUUAUUAUAGUCCAGGAGAUCAUCUGCCUCAGCUUGUGAGUGAAUUACUGUACAUAUUAGGCUGAGCAGCUGUCACUGAAGAGACUGUAUAAUUUUCAUUCUGUUGAGCAUUUAUGUUGGCAUCCUGAACAGAAUAAAAUAAAGUUGUCAACCCAUCCUGAAGAAAUGUGGCCUGUGUUUUGAUUUUCCUGACACUCAAAAGUUCAAUGCAGUUCACGAUCAUACUGCAACAUAUACCUUAGCUUUUUUGUAAAAUCAUCCUAAUCCUCAACAUAAUGAGGAGCAUUGUUUGAAAACCUGAUAUUAAGGAGUGCAUAUAAAGUUUCAUUCAGUUAAGCUGAUACCUUUAUAUCCUUUUCCUUGAGGUUAUUUUCACUACUGUAGAUU
Long non-coding RNA from Anolis carolinensis (green anole), 1162 nucleotides. RefSeq lists it as uncharacterized. The transcript is spliced from 4 exons. The record is from RefSeq and is a predicted model, not a curated record. NCBI's taxonomy places the organism in Eukaryota, Metazoa, Chordata, Lepidosauria, Squamata, Anolidae.